This 1072-nucleotide long non-coding RNA is filed under the name Ovis aries (sheep). RNAcentral's name for it is "lncRNA (ENSOARG00000026374.1)". Lineage: Eukaryota; Metazoa; Chordata; Mammalia; Artiodactyla; Bovidae. The record is from RNAcentral.
GGUCUCAGUUGCCAGGCAAUCAAGCCAAGGUGGGCUUGCCCCUGCAGGUCGUUCCCCCUGGAAGGAUCUGGGGAGGAGUAAAGGGGAACCUGGCAGGUUUCAGUUUUGGGAUUGGGUCUCAGUGGGUCUCCUGCUACCCCUCACCUUCCCUAUGGUAGGGACCAGACCUUCUGUCUAGACUGAGGGGAGGGACAAUGGUCAAGGUACACGUCUAUUUUCCUCCCCGAUUAUGGAACUGGGACUCCACCUUCUGACUAGACUGAGGAGAGGGACAAUGGUCAAGGUACGUGUUUACUUUCCUCCCCUGAUUAUGGAACUGGACUUCUCGUCUCCCACAGAUUUGGGCUCACCUUACAGGAGGUGGCCUCACAUAUCUACAUCAGAGGGAGCCAAGAUGAGUCCCCAGGGCUGCAAACUAGAGCUGGCUUGUAGUAUGUGGUCAAGAAGUGUUUAUAGAUGGCUGAAGGGCUGAAGGGCUGAAUGGAUGAAUGAAUCCAGGGUCAAUUUGGAAACAUACCAGGGCUCUCUUGGGCUAUCUAAGCCCAUAGAGGACACCCCUAGGCUUCGGCUCACCCCAAGCGCACAUCCGGGCUCAUCAACACACACGCACACACUCAUACACACAAACACACCCCAAGGGAAACUUCUGGGCCAGAGGCAAAGCCAGGACUCAGACCUAGGCUCCAGGUCAGCUCUGCAGCCUCCAGGGGAGGGGGCAGCAGGCUCACUCUCGGAAGCUGUCAGCCAACUGGUGGCAGUCCAGCUCCCCCUUCGGCUCCAGGCCCCCUGGAAGCUUCACUCCCGUCUUCCGGUCCACACACCAGCACUUGCCGCGCUGCCCAUCCAGGGCCGGGUGGCACUGCCAAGACAAGGGUGUGAGAGGUCAGGUUCCCAGGCAGCCACCCCCGAUCCCAGCCCAGCCCCCAGAUCAGACAGUGGUUCCCAACUGGUCUCUGAGGGUGGAGGCUCUCUUGGGCAUGAGUCCUCUGAGCUCACUGGAGUGGAGCAAAGGCGGCGAAGAAGGAAAGGCCCAAAGAGUCUGGGAAGGCAGAGCUCUGAGGAAGUUCUGUAG